RNAcentral lists this ribosomal RNA (229 nucleotides) under uncultured bacterium. RNAcentral describes it as "partial 16S ribosomal RNA". It matches the Rfam family "Bacterial small subunit ribosomal RNA", at positions 568 to 796 of the family's 1533-position model. The record is from RNAcentral.
UGCGUAGGCGGCCAGAUCAGUCAGGCGUGAAAGUUUUCGGCUUAACCGGAAAAUUGCGUUUGAUACUGUUUGGCUAGAAUCAGGAUGAGGUUGGCGGAAUGUGGCAUGUAGCGGUGAAAUGCAUAGAUAUGCCAUAGAACACCGAUUGCGAAGGCAGCCGGCUGGACCUGAAUUGACGCUGAGGCACGAAAGCGUGGGGAGCGAACAGGAUUAGAUACCCUGGUAGUCC